GAUGAACGCUGGCGGCGUGCCUAAUACAUGCAAGUCGAGCGAACGGACGAGAAGCUUGCUUCUCUGAUGUUAGCGGCGGACGGGUGAGUAACACGUGGAUAACCUACCUAUAAGACUGGGAUAACUUCGGGAAACCGGAGCUAAUACCGGAUGAUAUUUUGAACCGCAUGGUUCAAAAGUGAAAGACGGUCUUGCUGUCACUUAUAGAUGGAUCCGCGCUGCAUUAGCUAGUUGGUAAGGUAACGGCUUACCAAGGCAACGAUGCAUAGCCGACCUGAGAGGGUGAUCGGCCACACUGGAACUGAGACACGGUCCAGACUCCUACGGGAGGCAGCAGUAGGGAAUCUUCCGCAAUGGGCGAAAGCCUGACGGAGCAACGCCGCGUGAGUGAUGAAGGUCUUCGGAUCGUAAAACUCUGUUAUUAGGGAAGAACAUAUGUGUAAUUAACUGUGCACAUCUUGACGGUACCUAAUCAGAAAGCCACGGCUAACUACGUG
RNAcentral lists this ribosomal RNA (497 nucleotides) under uncultured bacterium. RNAcentral's name for it is "partial 16S ribosomal RNA". It matches the Rfam family "Bacterial small subunit ribosomal RNA", at positions 28 to 507 of the family's 1533-position model. The record is from RNAcentral.